This is a long non-coding RNA of Ruditapes philippinarum (Manila clam), 626 nucleotides long. RefSeq lists it as uncharacterized. The record is from RefSeq and is a predicted model, not a curated record. Lineage: Eukaryota; Metazoa; Mollusca; Bivalvia; Venerida; Veneridae. The transcript has 3 exons.
UGACAUAAACCAAUUAAGCGGAACUAUGCAUGGAAGACUAACGUAGGAUUUGACAACAAUGGCUUAACUUCACAUUUUCGUUUUAAGAUAAAUUCUAGUGGAGUGCAUUGGGUCUGAAAUAAAUGUGUUUAAUAUUUUGCAUUAAAUAUGAAAUACAAACGUGGUCGGAUAUGUGUGAAAGGACCGCGUAUUAUUCCUAAUUCGAGUUUGCUAAGGAUAAAAUCAGUGGGUGGGGUAAAGGUGUGAAAAACAAUCGAAUUUGAGUGAUUGUGUAAACCGUUUAUUUUGAUUACCUUUAAUUUGUGUAUACAGUUAGGAUAUUCAAAUCGGAUUAAUCUUUGACGGGUGUUAGACAUGGAUGCAGGGAUUGAUAAGGAUAUUGGUGUUUAUGGUGGAUUGUUCCUUACAAUAGUUUCAGACCUAAGGGGCAGUUCACCAGUUUGGGAGGAUUUUACCAGCAAAGCAACAAAACUUCACACCUCCCUCAAGUCGACACUAACUGCUAUAUCAGCUUUCCUCGAUGCCUUCCAAAAGGUUGCUGAUAUGGCCACUAACUCCAGAGGUAUGUUCACAUGACCCUCUAUUACAUGUAUAUCAAUUUAUUAUAGCCCUCUUUGGCCCUUCAU